UACGUAGGGUGCGAGCGUUGUCCGGAAUUACUGGGCGUAAAGAGCUCGUAGGUGGUUUGUCGCGUUGUUCGUGAAAACUCACAGCUCAACUGUGGGCGUGCGGGCGAUACGGGCAGACUGGAGUACUGCAGGGGAGACUGGAAUUCCUGGUGUAGCGGUGGAAUGCGCAGAUAUCAGGAGGAACACCGGUGGCGAAGGCGAGUCUCUGGACGACUCCUGACACUGAGGCACGAAAGCUGGGGGAGCAAACAGG
Molecule: ribosomal RNA, 253 nt
Filed under: uncultured bacterium
Lineage: Bacteria
Description: partial 16S ribosomal RNA
Rfam family: Bacterial small subunit ribosomal RNA
Source: RNAcentral